UCACGGUUGACCCGUGCAGUCCCCUUAGAGUGCUCGGCAUCACCCGGUAGCAACUAAGAUCAAGGGUUGCGCUCGUUGCGGGACUUAACCCAACAUCUCACGACACGAGCUGACGACAACCAUGCACCACCUGUCACUUAUGUCCCCGAAGGGAACGCCCUAUCUCUAGGGAAGGCAUAAGGAUGUCAAGACCUGGUAAGGUUCUUCGCGUUGCUUCGAAUUAAACCACAUGCUCCACCGCUUGUGCGGGCCCCCGUCAAUUCCUUUGAGUUUCAGCCUUGCGGCCGUACUCCCCAGGCGGGGUACUUCCUGCGUUAGCGCCGGCACCCAAGGGGUCGCUCCCCCAGGCACCUAGUACCCAUCGUUUACGGCGUGGACUAC
This 381-nucleotide unclassified non-coding RNA is filed under the name uncultured Bacillota bacterium. RNAcentral's name for it is "uncultured Firmicutes bacterium contains 16S-23S intergenic spacer region". The record is from RNAcentral. Lineage: Bacteria; Bacillati; Bacillota.